RNAcentral lists this unclassified non-coding RNA (965 nucleotides) under Hevea brasiliensis (rubber tree). Lineage: Eukaryota; Viridiplantae; Streptophyta; Magnoliopsida; Malpighiales; Euphorbiaceae. The record is from RNAcentral.
AAGUUCUGAUGAUGAAGAUGUAGAGUGAGACAGGGAGCUGCACAGAAUUACACGUUCCCUAUUUGCACUGUAUAAUAUUAGUUUCUACAAGAGCUUUGUGAAACAGAAAUCACUGACAAAGUGGUGGUCAGAGAAUGUAAAUAAUGUUGCUAAUCAUAUAACAAUUAUCAAUUAAACACAUGAUUAUUGAUUCCUCACUCUACAUCUUCAUCAUCAGAACUUGCAUAUGCUAAGCCCAGCAAACUUUUAACAGUAUUUUCCUGCCCGGUAUCAUUUUUAACUGCAUUCUCCUCUUUAAUCUCAUCUGUUUUACCUGAUUUUAACAAAAAGCACUCUUUCUCCUCCUGAUCAGACUUGGCAGAUUUUGCUGAAGAAUGAUCACAUGAAGUUCGUGUAGAAUGAUUUCCAUAAGAAUGGUUUGAAACCUUUGGCCGUUUCGGCUUAACUUCCACCACCUUCUUCAGCAGGUCUUGCUGCCUAAUCCCACUUUUUGGCUUUGGCUCAACACGUAGCGGCAAGGGAACUGAGGCAAGUGAAGAAUCUGCCAAACUUGCUGCUUUUUUAAAUGCAGCAAACGCCCGUUUCUCAGUCCGACGAAGAAGGCGUUCUGCAUCCUCUUCGGCUUCCAUCUGCUCCUUGAGAUAAAGCAAGUCAUCGCUGUCCAAGGCGCCUCGCCCAUGAAGGUAGCCUCCACGUUCUCCAGCAACCUCUUGCAUCUUGGCAACCAUGCGCUGGAAAGUGAUGUCUUCAUCAUCAAUUUUAUCCUUCCCUUUUCCCCAUUUCUUAUCUUUAGGAUCUGAAAGAUUGGUGUACUCCCGAACUUCUCUCCCUGCCAUUGUGAAUUGAUUUUGUAAUGUAUGUUAGAUUUGUGGAAUUGGUGUGACAGAAAAGCCGAGGAGUAGACCGCUGUUAAUGCGAAGAGGAUUGUAGAAUAGGGAGGAAGCGGCUUUGUCGGUUUUGUUUAG